GACGAACGCUGGCGGCGUGCUUAACACAUGCAAGUCGAACGAAGAGCGAUGGAAGCUUGCUUCUAUCAAUCUUAGUGGCGAACGGGUGAGUAACGCGUAAUCAACCUGCCCUUCAGAGGGGGACAACAGUUGGAAACGACUGCUAAUACCGCAUACGAUCUAAUCUCGGCAUCGAGGAUAGAUGAAAGGUGGCCUCUACAUGUAAGCUAUCACUGAAGGAGGGGAUUGCGUCUGAUUAGCUAGUUGGAGGGGUAACGGCCCACCAAGGCGAUGAUCAGUAGGCCGGCUGGGGGGAUGGACAGCCACAAUGGGACGGGGAACCGGCCCAAGCUCCUACGGGAAGGAGCAAGGGGGAAUCUUCCGCAAGGGACGAAAGUCUGACGAAGCAACGCCGCGGGAGUGAUGACGGCCUUCGGGUUGUAAAGCUCUGUUAAUCGGGACGAAAGGCCUUCUUGCGAAUAGGGAGAAGGAUUGACGGUACCGGAAUAGAAAGCCACGGCUAACUACGUG
Molecule: ribosomal RNA, 510 nt
Filed under: uncultured bacterium
Lineage: Bacteria
Description: partial 16S ribosomal RNA
Rfam family: Bacterial small subunit ribosomal RNA
Source: RNAcentral